This 378-nucleotide ribosomal RNA is filed under the name uncultured bacterium. RNAcentral describes it as "bacterial SSU rRNA". It matches the Rfam family "Bacterial small subunit ribosomal RNA", at positions 521 to 896 of the family's 1533-position model. The record is from RNAcentral.
UAAUACAGAGGUCCCAAGCGUUGUUCGGAUUCACUGGGCGUAAAGGGUGCGUAGGUGGCGGGGUAAGUUUGAUGUGAAAGCUCCGAGCUUAACUCGGAAAUGGCAUUGAAUACUAUCUUGCUCGAGGUUUGGAGGGGGGACUGGAAUUCUCGGUGUAGCAGUGAAAUGCGUAGAUAUCGAGAGGAACACCAGUGGCGAAGGCGAGUCCCUGGACAACACCUGACACUAAGGCACGAAAGCUAGGGGAGCAAACAGGAUUAGAUACCCUGGUAGUCCUAUGCUGUAAACGGUGCAUAUUUGCUGUAAGAGGAUUCGACCCCUUUUGUGGCGAAGCAAACGCGUUAAAUAUGCCGCCUGGGAAGUACGGUCGCAAGAUUA